This 497-nucleotide ribosomal RNA is filed under the name uncultured bacterium. RNAcentral describes it as "partial 16S ribosomal RNA". It matches the Rfam family "Bacterial small subunit ribosomal RNA", at positions 28 to 507 of the family's 1533-position model. The record is from RNAcentral.
GAUGAACGCUGGCGGCGUGCCUAAUACAUGCAAGUCGAGCGAACAGACGAGGAGCUUGCUCCUCUGACGUUAGCGGCGGACGGGUGAGUAACACGUGGAUAACCUACCUAUAAGACUGGGAUAACUUCGGGAAACCGGAGCUAAUACCGGAUAAUAUAUUGAACCGCAUGGUUCAAUAGUGAAAGACGGUUUUGCUGUCACUUAUAGAUGGAUCCGCGCCGCAUUAGCUAGUUGGUAAGGUAACGGCUUACCAAGGCAACGAUGCGUAGCCGACCUGAGAGGGUGAUCGGCCACACUGGAACUGAGACACGGUCCAGGCUCCUACGGGAGGCAGCAGUAGGGAAUCUUCCGCAAUGGGCGAAAGCCUGACGGAGCCACGCCGCGUGAGUGAUGAAGGUCUUCGGAUCGUAAAACUCUGUUAUUAGGGAAGAACAAAUGUGUAAGUAACUAUGCACGUCUUGACGGUACCUAAUCAGAAAGCCACGGCUAACUACGUG